UACGGAGGGGGCAAGCGUUAUCCGGAUUCACUGGGUUUAAAGGGUGCGUAGGCGGGCAGGUAAGUCCGUGGUGAAAUCUCUGAGCUUAACUCAGAAACUGCCAUGGAUAUUAUUUGUCUUGAAUAUUGUGGAGGUAAGCGGAAUAUGUCAUGUAGCGGUGAAAUGCUUAGAUAUGACAUAGAACACCAAUUGCGAAGGCAGCUUACUACACAGUUAUUGACGCUGAGGCACGAAAGCGUGGGGAUCAAACAGG
RNAcentral lists this ribosomal RNA (253 nucleotides) under uncultured bacterium. RNAcentral's name for it is "partial 16S ribosomal RNA". It matches the Rfam family "Bacterial small subunit ribosomal RNA", at positions 524 to 776 of the family's 1533-position model. The record is from RNAcentral.